UCAUAUUUGCUAUUAUUCCUAGUAUUUUAUUGCUCUUAAUAAAACACAAGGAACAUGAACAACUAAGAUUCAAGUAAUGCCAAAUAAAAUACCAACAGAUAGGUUACAUAUUCAGAAUGUUUUUGGCACCAAUUCGAUAUUUUUCUGAUUUGAAAUGAAUUAGUUAUGAAUUUUUUAAUUAAAUGUAAUUUUUUAAAUUUUUAGAAAAUUCAAAACCACUCUUAAAACCACCCAAAGGACCAAAUUUGCCCGGUUUUGACCGUUGGAUGGCCCUCCUUGUCCCGUUUUGUUGUUGUGAGUUGAAAAUCGAACUUUUGCUAUAGUUGAAGGGUGAAAAAUUGGACUUUUCCCUUUUAGCUUUAUAUCAA
Molecule: long non-coding RNA, 368 nt
Filed under: Setaria viridis
Lineage: Eukaryota; Viridiplantae; Streptophyta; Magnoliopsida; Poales; Poaceae
Description: long non-coding RNA (SVIR_LNC002990)
Source: RNAcentral